UCAGGGUUAGUUAUCGGUGGAUAUCGCAGCUUAUUGCACUCCUUAUUUAUGCAGUUCUACUCAUGCCUGGUUUCAUAAAAGUUGGGUACUACUAUUUCUUUUCAAGACAUGUUAUUAGAAGUGUAAUCUAUGGAGAACAACCAAGAAAUAGGUUGGAUUUGUACAUACCUAAAG
RNA transcript from Zea mays, 174 nucleotides. RefSeq lists it as uncharacterized. The transcript has 3 exons. NCBI's taxonomy places the organism in Eukaryota, Viridiplantae, Streptophyta, Magnoliopsida, Poales, Poaceae. The record is from RefSeq and is a predicted model, not a curated record.